This 118-nucleotide ribosomal RNA is filed under the name Beta vulgaris subsp. vulgaris (sugar beet). The record is from RNAcentral. Lineage: Eukaryota; Viridiplantae; Streptophyta; Magnoliopsida; Caryophyllales; Amaranthaceae.
GACUGCAAUUAUACCAGCACUAAUGCACCGGAUCCCAUCAAAAUUUCAGACUUAAGCGUGCUUGGGCGAGAGUAGUACUAGGAUGGGUGACCCCUGGGAAGUCUUUGAAUUGCACCCC